Small nuclear RNA from Ochotona curzoniae (black-lipped pika), 104 nucleotides. Lineage: Eukaryota; Metazoa; Chordata; Mammalia; Lagomorpha; Ochotonidae. The record is from RefSeq and is a predicted model, not a curated record.
GUGCUUAGCACAGCACAAAAAUUAAAAUUGAAAUGAUACAGAAAAGAUUAGCAUGGCUUCUGCAUAAGGAGGACAUGCAAAUUUGUGGAACAGUCCAUAUAAAA